Molecule: ribosomal RNA, 468 nt
Filed under: uncultured bacterium
Lineage: Bacteria
Description: partial 16S ribosomal RNA
Rfam family: Bacterial small subunit ribosomal RNA
Source: RNAcentral
GACGAACGCUGGCGGCGUGCUUAACACAUGCAAGUCGAACGGAAAGGCCCUGCUUUUGUGGGGUGCUCGAGUGGCGAACGGGUGAGUAACACGUGAGUAACCUGCCCUUGACUUUGGGAUAACUUCAGGAAACUGGGGCUAAUACCGGAUAGGAGCUCCUGCUGCAUGGUGGGGGUUGGAAAGUUUCGGCGGUUGGGGAUGGACUCGCGGCUUAUCAGCUUGUGGGUGGGGUAGUGGCUUACCAAGGCUUUGACGGGUAGCCGGCCUGGGAGGGUGACCGGCCACAUUGGGACUGUGAUACGGCCCAGACUCCUACGGGAGGCAGCAGUGGGGAAUAUUGCACAAUGGGCGGAAGCCUGAUGCAGCAACGCCGCGUGCGGGAUGACGGCCUUCGGGUUGUAAACCGCUUUCGCCUGUGACGAAGCGUGAGUGACGGUAAUGGGUAAAGAAGCACCGGCUAACUACGUG